AGUGAACGCUGGCGGUAGGCCUAACACAUGCAAGUCGAACGGCAGCACAGUAAGAGCUUGCUCUUACGGGUGGCGAGUGGCGGACGGGUGAGGAAUACAUCGGAAUCUACUUUUUCGUGGGGGAUAACGUAGGGAAACUUACGCUAAUACCGCAUACGACCUACGGGUGAAAGCAGGGGAUCUUCGGACCUUGCGCGAUUGAAUGAGCCGAUGUCGGAUUAGCUAGUUGGCGGGGUAAAGGCCCACCAAGGCGACGAUCCGUAGCUGGUCUGAGAGGAUGAUCGGCACCACUGGCACUGCGCCACGGUCCAGACGCCUACGGGAGGCAGCCGUGGUGAUUAUUGGACAAUGGGCGCAAGCCUGAUCCAGCCAUACCGCGUGGGUGAAGAAGGCCUUCUGGUUGUAUAGCCCUUUUGUUGGGAAAGAAAAGCAGCAGGUUAAUACCCCGCUGUUCUGACGGUACCCAAAGAAUAAGCACCGGCUAACUUCGUG
RNAcentral lists this ribosomal RNA (492 nucleotides) under uncultured bacterium. RNAcentral's name for it is "partial 16S ribosomal RNA". It matches the Rfam family "Bacterial small subunit ribosomal RNA", at positions 29 to 507 of the family's 1533-position model. The record is from RNAcentral.